RNAcentral lists this ribosomal RNA (476 nucleotides) under uncultured bacterium. RNAcentral describes it as "bacterial SSU rRNA". It matches the Rfam family "Bacterial small subunit ribosomal RNA", at positions 20 to 507 of the family's 1533-position model. The record is from RNAcentral.
UGGCUCAGGACGAACGCUGGCGGCGCGCCUAACACAUGCAAGUCGAACGAGCGAGAGAGAGCUUGCUUUCUCGAGCGAGUGGCGAACGGGUGAGUAACGCGUGAGGAACCUGCCUCAAAGAGGGGGACAACAGUUGGAAACGACUGCUAAUACCGCAUAAGCCCACGGCUCGGCAUCGAGCAGAGGGAAAAGGAGCAAUCCGCUUUGAGAUGGGCUCGCGUCUGAUUAGCUAGUUGGUGGGGUAACGGCCCACCAAGGCGACGAUCAGUAGCCGGACUGAGAGGUUGAACGGCCACAUUGGGACUGAGAUACGGCCCAGACUCCUACGGGAGGCAGCAGUGGGGAAUAUUGGGCAAUGGGCGAAAGCCUGACCCAGCAACGCCGCGUGAAGGAAGAAGGCCUUCGGGUUGUAAACUUCUUUUAAGAGGGACGAAGAAGUGACGGUACCUCUUGAAUAAGCCACGGCUAACUACGUG